CCUACUGGUGGCAGCAGUGAGGAAUAUUGGUCAAUGGACGGAAGUCUGCACCAGCCAUGCCGCGUGCAGGAUGACGGCCCUAUGAGUUGUAAACUGCUUUUGUACGAGAAUAAUAGUUCUUACGUGUAGGGAUUUGAAUGUAUCGUAAGAAUAAGGAUCGGCUAACUCCGUGCCAGCAGCCGCGGUAAUACGGAGGAUUCGAGCGUUAUCCGGCUUUAUUGGGUUUAAGGGGUGCGUCGGCUGUCGGAGAAGGUAGAGGUCAAAUGUCGGGGCUUAACCCCGUGCCUGACUCUGAUACUGUCCGACUAGAGAGCGGAUGCAGCAGGCGGAAUGAGUAGUGUAGCGGUGAAAUGCUUAGAUAUUACUCAGAACACCGAUUGCGCAGGCAGCUUGCUAAUCCGCAUCUGACGCUGAUGCACGAAAGCGUGGGUAGCGAACAGGAUUAGAUACCCGGGUAGUC
This 460-nucleotide ribosomal RNA is filed under the name uncultured bacterium. RNAcentral's name for it is "partial 16S ribosomal RNA". It matches the Rfam family "Bacterial small subunit ribosomal RNA", at positions 338 to 795 of the family's 1533-position model. The record is from RNAcentral.